This 254-nucleotide ribosomal RNA is filed under the name uncultured bacterium. RNAcentral describes it as "partial 16S ribosomal RNA". It matches the Rfam family "Bacterial small subunit ribosomal RNA", at positions 524 to 776 of the family's 1533-position model. The record is from RNAcentral.
UACGGGGGGGGCAAGCGUUGUUCGGAAUUACUGGGCGUAAAGGGCGCGUAGGCGGCCUGCUAAGUCGGAUGUGAAAUCCCUCGGCUCAACCGAGGAACUGCAUCCGAUACUGGCGGGCUUGAAUCCGGGAGAGGGAUGUGGAAUUCCAGGUGUAGCGGUGAAAUGCGUAGAUAUCUGGAGGAACACCGGUGGCGAAGGCGGCAUCCUGGACCGGUAUUGACGCUGAGGAGCGAAAAGCGUGGGGAGCGAACAGG